RNAcentral lists this ribosomal RNA (1345 nucleotides) under uncultured bacterium. Its description in RNAcentral is "partial 16S ribosomal RNA". It matches the Rfam family "Bacterial small subunit ribosomal RNA", at positions 28 to 1380 of the family's 1533-position model. The record is from RNAcentral.
AACGAACGCUGGCGGCGUGCUUAACACAUGCAAGUCGAACGGAAAGGCCCUGCUUUUGUGGGGUGCUCGAGUGGCGAACGGGUGAGUAACACGUGAGUAACCUGCCCUUGACUUUGGGAUAACUUCAGGAAACUGGGGCUAAUACCGGAUAGGAGCUCCUGCUGCAUGGUGGGGGUUGGAAAGUUUCGGCGGUUGGGGAUGGACUCGCGGCUUAUCAGCUUGUUGGUGGGGUAGUGGCUUACCAAGGCUUUGACGGGUAGCCGGCCUGAGAGGGUGACCGGCCACAUUGGGACUGAGAUACGGCCCAGACUCCUACGGGAGGCAGCAGUGGGGAAUAUUGCACAAUGGGCGGAAGCCUGAUGCAGCAACGCCGCGUGCGGGAUGACGGCCUUCGGGUUGUAAACCGCUUUCGCCUGUGACGAAGCGUGAGUGACGGUAAUGGGUAAAGAAGCACCGGCUAACUACGUGCCAGCAGCCGCGGUGAUACGUAGGGUGCGAGCGUUGUCCGGAUUUAUUGGGCGUAAAGGGCUCGUAGGUGGUUGAUCGCGUCGGAAGUGUAAUCUUGGGGCUUAACCCUGAGCGUGCUUUCGAUACGGGUUGACUUGAGGAAGGUAGGGGAGAAUGGAAUUCCUGGUGGAGCGGUGGAAUGCGCAGAUAUCAGGAGGAACACCAGUGGCGAAGGCGGUUCUCUGGGCCUUUCCUGACGCUGAGGAGCGAAAGCGUGGGGAGCGAACAGGCUUAGAUACCCUGGUAGUCCACGCUGUAAACGGUGGGUACUAGGUGUGGGGUCCAUUCCACGGGUUCCGUGCCGUAGCUAACGCUUUAAGUACCCCGCCUGGGGAGUACGGCCGCAAGGCUAAAACCCAAAGGAAUUGACGGGGCCCCGCACAAGCGGCGGAGCAUGCGGAUUAAUUCGAUGCAACGCGUAGAACCUUACCUGGGUUUGACAUGGAUCGGGAGUGCUCAGAGAUGGGUGUGCCUCUUUUGGGGUCGGUUCACAGGUGGUGCAUGGCUGUCGUCAGCUCGUGUCGUGAGAUGUUGGGUUAAGUCCCGCAACGAGCGCAACCCUUGUUCACUGUUGCCAGCACGUUAUGGUGGGGACUCAGUGGAGACCGCCGGGGUCAACUCGGAGGAAGGUGGGGAUGACGUCAAGUCAUCAUGCCCCUUAUGUCCAGGGCUUCACGCAUGCUACAAUGGCUGGUACAGAGAGUGGCGAGCCUGUGAGGGUGAGCGAAUCUCGGAAAGCCGGUCUCAGUUCGGAUUGGGGUCUGCAACUCGACCUCAUGAAGUCGGAGUCGCUAGUAAUCGCAGAUCAGCAACGCUGCGGUGAAUACGUUCCCGGGGC